AACAAAUUAACCCAAAACUUAGUGCCCUAAAAAAUCUUUUAAUGGUAUUUUGGAUAUUUAAUGGUUUGCCUGGAUUGUUUUGCUGCUUGGGACAUCACUCUGUGGCGCACCCACUGUUGAACAGACUUCUCUGGAGGGUGCAGGAACACUUAGCUCCCAUGUCUCGUGUCUCGGUGGAGGUGCACUCAGUGUUGACUGUUGACCAAGGUGUGUACACUUGGCAGCUUAUUUGUUCUUAUGGUGACUUCAGCAUGGUGGCCCCAGGCAGGUGCACUUAUAUAGCAUAAGGUUCCCCCCAGGUAUUAGGCAGAAAACUCCAGUAGGCAGUAUUAGGCAGACAAACAACCAGUAGGGUGUGUAUGUGUGUACUUUUUUUGUUUAAUAAGGGAUUGUUUCACAAUUGCUGGAGACCCACAAGUCUAAAAUCUGCAGUUAUAGGGUAGUGGCACGUGCGUGUAAUCCCAGCAUUUGGGAAACUGAGUAGGAGGAUUGGAAAUUCAAACUCAGCCUGGGCAACUUGACAGUUUAAGGAAACCCUGUCUCAAAAUAAAAAAUGAGGGCUGGGGAUUUAGCUCAGUGGUGCUGCUGCCUGCCUCGAAUGUGCAAGGUCCGGAGUUCGAUCCCCAGCACCAAAAAAAGAAAGGAUCAGCGAGUAGCUCAGUGCAAAGGCCCUGGGUUCAAUCCAGAAACUGUCUCCAAGUUGACUAAAAUUAACCAUUGUACCCUGUGAUAAGAACCUCAAACCAACCAGUUGGAAGCUUCAUGGACUUAAAAAAAAACCCCAAAAAACAGCUGGGGAUUGAACCCAGGGCCUUUAGAAAAAGCUGUUUCUGUAGGCCCUUUUAAAUUUUCUAUUUUAAGAGGUUCUCUCGAGUUGCCCAGGCUAGGCUCAAACUUGUGAUUCUCUGGUCUCAGCCUCCCAGAGUACUGGGUUUACAGGCAUGUGCCACCAUGCCUUGCUUGCAGCCUUCCUUUUAAACUGCUAGUCUAUAUUUGAUUUAACAAUUUGAUAAUAUGUAUUAUUAACUAUCUAUUAAGCAGGGAGUAGAGUUGAUAACCUCAUACCUUCUCUCCACUCCCCUCUGCCUCCAUUUUUAAAAAGUUUUGUGUUGCCCAGGCUGCCCUCGAACUAGAAUCCUCCUGCUUCAGUCACCUGAGUGCUAGGAUUACAGAGUCCCCGAGGAGCAUGUAAGAAGUUCUCUUGUUGAUUUGCAGUUGAUACAUGUUGCAGAUAAAAGUCAUUUGAUGUUUUUAAAAUGUAAUUUUUGGUUCGAUUAGAGAUAAGAAUGUAAAUUUAUAUUUUUUGAUAGCUAUAUUACAUUUUUGCCUAAAUUUGUUCAUAUUUCUCUUGGUAUUACUGACUGGUUUACUCUUUAACUUUGUAGAAAAAUAUUUUUAAAAUUAGAGCAAUAGUAGAAAUCAAGCUUGAAUGUUUUCCAUCUUUUCUCCUCUCCUACACUUCCUCUUCCUCCUCUAUUUUAGUUUUUAUCUCAACAGACCUGCCCUCUCCUAUAAAGAGCCCUUUUAGGAAUGAGAUAUCCCUUGUUAUGAGAUGGUAACCUUACUUUUCUGCCAAAUACUCCCUCAUUUUCUUUUCCCAAAUGGAGCCUAGACCAAGUUGAUCACCUUUAUAUUGUACCCUCUUCUCUUCUGCUUCAGAGAUUACUUUUAUUAGUGUUUGAACUUUAUGUACCUGGUAUCACAGAGCAUGUGCCCUUCUGUCCCUGGCUUUCCUCACUUCAUAUUAUAUUUAUAAGAUUGGUCCAUCUUGUUACACGAAAUUAUGGGUUAUGUAUUCUCAUUGCUGUAGCCUUCCAUUGUCUAACUACCCUAGUGUUUAACUGUAGAUUUAUAUUGGGUUGCUUCAGUUUUUGGACUACUUAGGUGAAUAGUACU
This is a long non-coding RNA of Heterocephalus glaber (naked mole-rat), 1896 nucleotides long. The record is from Ensembl. NCBI's taxonomy places the organism in Eukaryota, Metazoa, Chordata, Mammalia, Rodentia, Bathyergidae.